This is a regulatory RNA element of Anaerotruncus sp. CAG:528, 167 nucleotides long. It matches the Rfam family "Ribosomal protein L10 leader". Rfam says of the family: This family is a putative r-protein leader autoregulatory structure found in B. subtilis and other low-GC Gram-positive bacteria. It is located in the 5' untranslated regions of mRNAs encoding ribosomal proteins L10 and L12 (rplJ-rplL). The record is from Rfam. Lineage: Bacteria; Bacillati; Bacillota; Clostridia; Eubacteriales; Oscillospiraceae.
AAUACAUUCGCUGUUCAACCAAAGACAGCAGGUGCCUUUUGGCGUAAGAUGAUUCAUCGCCUGCCGAGGAAUGAGCAUUUUGAAUUUAUUUCGUUUGCUUUAAGCAUAUCGUAUGAUGAUAAAUGUUGUGCAUUCCGUUCUGCGGGAUGCACUUUUUAUUUGUUUUG